Molecule: transfer RNA, 85 nt
Filed under: Salinibacterium sp.
Lineage: Bacteria; Bacillati; Actinomycetota; Actinomycetes; Micrococcales; Microbacteriaceae
Also listed under: 4 other names
Description: tRNA-Tyr
Rfam family: tRNA
About the family: Transfer RNA (tRNA) molecules are approximately 80 nucleotides in length.
Source: RNAcentral
GGCAAGUUACCCAAGCGGCCAAAGGGAUCUGACUGUAAAUCAGACGUCUCAGACUUCACAGGUUCGAAUCCUGUACUUGCCACCA